This 253-nucleotide ribosomal RNA is filed under the name uncultured bacterium. Its description in RNAcentral is "partial 16S ribosomal RNA". It matches the Rfam family "Bacterial small subunit ribosomal RNA", at positions 524 to 776 of the family's 1533-position model. The record is from RNAcentral.
UACGUAGGUGGCAAGCGUUGUCCGGAUUUACUGGGCGUAAAGAGCGCGCAGGCGGUCGUUCAAGUCGCGUGUGAAAGCCCCCGGCUCAACUGGGGAGGGUCACGCGAUACUGAUCGACUCGAAGGCAGGAGAGGGAAGUGGAAUUCCCGGUGUAGUGGUGAAAUGCGUAGAUAUCUGGAGGAAUACCGGUGGCGAAGGCGGCAUUCUGGACUAUUUCUGACACUGAUGAGCGAAAGCGUGGGGAGCGAACAGG